RNAcentral lists this ribosomal RNA (69 nucleotides) under Silene baccifera. RNAcentral describes it as "partial 5.8S ribosomal RNA". The record is from RNAcentral. Lineage: Eukaryota; Viridiplantae; Streptophyta; Magnoliopsida; Caryophyllales; Caryophyllaceae.
CAUCGAGUUUUUGAACGCAAGUUGCGCCCGAAGCCUUUGGCCGAGGGCACGUCUGCCUGGGCGUCACGC